RNAcentral lists this unclassified non-coding RNA (272 nucleotides) under Hevea brasiliensis (rubber tree). Lineage: Eukaryota; Viridiplantae; Streptophyta; Magnoliopsida; Malpighiales; Euphorbiaceae. The record is from RNAcentral.
GGGGUCUGGAAAGUACAGUAGUGGACUAUCCAAUUGGGCUACUGAUUUUGCUUCUUUCAAAACUAUCCAAUCAGGUUCAACCGUUGUCCCAUUUUGAAAAUGAUUAAAAAAUAGAAAUAGCACAAUUCCCAAGUCAAAUAAAGUCUCUCUUUUUUUUUUUUUUACUGGUUUCAAUAUUUUCAUUUUCUCCCCCAUUCGCCCACAGAAAAGCCCAGGAUCUGUCCCUCUAGCUCCGAUUCCGUCCUUCUGGUGAGUUCAAAUGGCAGGAGGUC